Molecule: long non-coding RNA, 449 nt
Filed under: Nicotiana benthamiana
Lineage: Eukaryota; Viridiplantae; Streptophyta; Magnoliopsida; Solanales; Solanaceae
Description: long non-coding RNA (NBEN_LNC004722)
Source: RNAcentral
AUUGCCAAUUCUCUACGAUUAUCAUUUCAUAUUUUUGAUUAUGAUCGUUGUAAUGAGAGAUUUUAUAAUGGUUGGUAGAAGAUAUUGUUGGGAAUAAAUCCUCACGAUAAUAAUAUUUACAAUAGUAAAAGCGGAAAAAUAACGUAGCACUCAUAUACGAUGAUCAACAAUAAUAAAGAACGAUAACGACACUAAAUUUUUUACGUGGAAAACUGUUCUCAAUAAGGGGAAAAAACCACGACCCUCAAAGAAGCAUCUGAUAUCAUUAUAGUAAGAAAUUUCACUUUUUGUAGGCCCGAGUAAAAUACUACAAAGACCACUGCAAUAUGCAAAAGAAAUAAUUUUCUUUUGAUAUUCCCACCUCAUUACAAUAUUGUUUACUCUUUAUUUUUUUCACAUGCUUUUUUAAUAGCUGUUUGUAAUGUCUUACUCUUUUUUUCUCUCUUUUU